This 2660-nucleotide long non-coding RNA is filed under the name Volvox carteri. RNAcentral describes it as "long non-coding RNA (VCAR_LNC003968)". The record is from RNAcentral. Lineage: Eukaryota; Viridiplantae; Chlorophyta; Chlorophyceae; Chlamydomonadales; Volvocaceae.
UCGCGCCUGUAACUGUAGGCUUUAUGAGCGAAACGAAAGAAAACAAAAGUUUUCUGUGUAUUUGCCGAGCGUGUACUCGGUUGAAUGUCCUGGGUGUGUACGGCUGGACCGUACAGGGCUAGAAUAAGUCGCAGGAGUGCGACGGAAAGAGCAAGUUCGCGAGUUCAUAGCGAGUUCAUACUGACAGGUUUCCGCUGCGGCUUCUGCCUAACCUACAGGCUUCAGAAGCAGAGUCGCUCGGUAACCAGGCUCGCCCCCUCCCACGGAAGCAAGCACUAACUUUCCUGCCUGCAGGUACCCCUCCGUCUGAACGACCCCUAAGCGGUAAGGCAACUACUCAAGAAAACAAAGAUUUGGCUGUAAUAAAGGCUUGGCAUUGUAAAAGCAACGUGUGCCCUGUAAUGGACACUUGGCGCUAGCCAACCGUGAGGCCGCCGCGGCCAUGCCAUGCGCAGGGGUUGGAAUCCACAGCAUCCACAUCGAACACGUACGGGCCAAGGAAGGGCAUCUGUACCCGGACAGGAAAACACAGCACAGCGAGGCGUGCAUGGGGUAUCAGGGGGUUUCACAGGGCGGUGUGCAGCCAUCACAAGCCUCUCUUCCUGCUGCUUUCCUGCCUUCCUGCAGCCUCCCUAUCCACAAUCACAUCGGNCCUCUACCUACUUACCUACCGGGGUACCUACCUCUACAUAUGCCAAUAACGACCGGCGUCAUGAUCAAGCGGCCGCCACACCCUAUUACCUAGGCCAUGUGCACAAAUCCGCUCGGUCCUCCUUUUGCUGUACGUACGGUGUCGUACGAGUAAUGUACGAUGCCUGAUUGAAGUCGUUCCCACGCGGCGCGGGGCGGUGACUGAUGGAAUGGUUACCACGAGCACGUCAGGUACUGCACACGUUGGACGAGCUUACAGCUGGGUUUACAAGCAUGCAGAUGGAUGGGCAUAGCACAGCACAGCGAUCAGCACAGCACAGCGAUCAGCACAGCACAGCUCAGCAGCGCACGGCACCCUCCAGCCCAGUUGUGCAUUUUUGGGCGGGGCCCCAGCGCGAAGCGCCCAGGGGGGCCCCGACCUGUAGGAUUGCCCAUGUCCGUGUGUGUGUGUGUGUGUGUGUGUGUGUGUGUGUGUGUGUGUGUGUGUGUGUGUAACGGACCAAACAUAAUAUCUCGCCUGGCUGAAACGCGUUAUAGGUACUAUACAGCAUUCUCUAUUGCAAGGUAUCUCCCAUGUAGCCAACAAAAAUCGUAUGAGCGCAAACAAGUUUGGCUGCCUCAAUUGACCGAGGCCAAAGUCACAUCAAUGCCUCUCGCGCUAAAUUUCAUCGCAAAAGGUACCGCGUAUCUCAUAUUUGAGUUCUUAGAUGACGGCGUAUGAUAACUCGAACUCCCAGGCCUUGAGUGUGUAACGGACCAAACAUAAUAUUUCACCCGGCUGAAACGCGUUAUCGGUACUAUACAGCAUUCUCUAUUGCAAGGUAUCUCGCAUGUAGCUAACAAAGACCGUAUGAGCACAAACAAGUUUAGCUGCCUCCAUUCACCGACCUCAAAAGUCACAUCAACGCCUCUCGCGCUAAAAUUCAUCCCGAAAGCUGCCGCGUAUCUCACAAUGGAAUUCUGAGAUGACGGCGUAUGAUAACUCGAACACCCAGCUUGUGUUACCAUUUGCCGGCAUGGGCUUGCCACCAGCAGGCCAACAUAAUUUGCUUUCAUUUCUCUAUGAAAUACACAAGCUGCUUGUUUGUACAUUUACUUUGGCCAAUGCACGGGGCCUCCUGAGACUUGCGGUGUGCCCCGAUGAAGCCCGCGGCUGUGGGGCGGAUUGCUGAGGCCGCUGGCGCUUCGGGGAUAAACAUCACAGACAGCACCGAAAUUCACCCAGCUUUCGUUACCAUUUGCCCGCACGGGCAUUCCGACUUGCGGUCUGCCGCACUGUCCAUGCGGCAUGCACCCGGAAUGCCGGGUGCGGCAUGCACCCGGAAUGCCGGGUCCAUUCCGGGUGCAUGCCCGGAAUGGAUGCGAUUCGCGUGGAGCCCGCAGGCGGUGCUGACGAUUCCGCCGGUGCAAGCUUAGCUCUCACACCAUCAGCACUGCUGCAACAAAGCACAUCUCACACCGCGUUGACACUACCCAUCAAUUGUCACACNNNNNNNNNNNNNNNNNNNNNNNNNNNNNNNNNNNNNNNNNNNNNNNNNNCAACCAUGCUGGCAAGUCGGAUGCGCAAGCGCACCAUUGACAAGCCCCCGAGAAAUAUUCAAGUUAAUCGCAGGUCCUCAAUGAGGACCAUAUUAGCGAUUAAGCUAAUAAGAACAGAUACUACACAUGAUCUGAGCCAAAAGGCCGAGAAAGGUAUGAAAACAACAGGGAUGGGCCACGGACGAGUGCACGGCAAAAUACUCCUUUGGCGCUCGAUGGUGGGGGGUGGUAUUUAGAAGCACAUUGCUCCCCCUGAAAGCACCUGCUUGCUGUUCCUGGUCCGCAAUGUCGGGGCCAAGCAGGAAAACACAGCACAGCGAGGCGUGCAUGGGGUAUCAGGGGGUUUCACAGGGCGGUGUGCAGCCAUCACAAGCCUCUCUUCCUGCUGCUUUCCUGCCUUCCUGCAGCCUCCCUAUCCACAAUCACAUCGGCCCUCUACCUACUUACCUACCGGGGUACCUACCUCUACA